AUGUCUUCCUCCGCCACCUCCCACGCAAGCCUCAAUGGCCAGGUUCCGGAGAAACUCUCUCGCACGAACUAUGUGCUUUGGCGUACUCAUAUCACGCCCCAGCUGAGAGGGGCAGGUCUCUCCGGCUAUGCCGCUGGCACCAUGCCCGAACCAGCGCCCCUUCUUGUCACCAAGGACAAGGAUGGGAAGGAAACCUCCGAGCCCAACCCUCUCCACCCCAUCUGGGUCAGGGAGGACCAGCAGGUGCUUGGCUACCUCCUCAGCAACCUCUCCAAGGAGGUGCUGAUCACGGUGACCACGAUCACCACCGCGCACGGCCUCUGGUCAGCGCUGGCGGGCAUGUUCUCGUCCCAGUCCUUGAGCCGCGUCAACAACAUCCGC
Molecule: ribosomal RNA, 381 nt
Filed under: Triticum aestivum (bread wheat)
Lineage: Eukaryota; Viridiplantae; Streptophyta; Magnoliopsida; Poales; Poaceae
Description: partial small subunit ribosomal RNA
Source: RNAcentral